Molecule: long non-coding RNA, 311 nt
Filed under: Nicotiana benthamiana
Lineage: Eukaryota; Viridiplantae; Streptophyta; Magnoliopsida; Solanales; Solanaceae
Description: long non-coding RNA (NBEN_LNC031674)
Source: RNAcentral
AAACCACAAAGGCGUCAUCUGGAAGUUUGUCCAAGCUCACAUCAUCAGCACCCAUCAAAUAUACAAACUUCGCAGAAUCAAUGCAUUUUUCAGAUUCAGGCACAAGUCCAAGAUCAAGAGCGGCAGCUUGGGCAGCAUUCAGCAGCAACACUAAACUUCGCUGAAUCAAUGCAUUUUUCAGAUUCAGGCACAAGUCCAAGAUCAAGAGCGGCAGCUUGGGCAGCAUUCAGCAGCAACACAUUUAGUCCAUUCCAAUCAGAUCUCACAACAUUAUUGUUCUUCGCAAUAGUGUCAAUAGCAGCAAAAACAGC